RNAcentral lists this long non-coding RNA (290 nucleotides) under Pan troglodytes (chimpanzee). RNAcentral's name for it is "long non-coding RNA NONPTRT015538". The record is from RNAcentral. Lineage: Eukaryota; Metazoa; Chordata; Mammalia; Primates; Hominidae.
AUUUAUACUUCAGGAUGGACAAGAAGUUCUGUCAGCUGAUGAGAAAUGAUGCCAGAUGGUAACUCAGAUAUACAAGAAAUACUGAAAUGCGCUGGAAAUGGCCUGGUUGCAUUAUGCUUGAAAUCUGGGAUGUGGAAGACCCUUCCAAUGCAGCUAACCCUCCCUUAUGUAGUGUCCUGCUCGAAGAUGCCAGUAUUUCAGAAUAGUGUGUACAGAGUAUUGAAGGUUAACUGAGAAGGAAACUACCCAUUACACUAUGGCACAAUGCCGUGUGUCAAAAACAAUCACCC